Molecule: ribosomal RNA, 816 nt
Filed under: uncultured bacterium
Lineage: Bacteria
Description: bacterial SSU rRNA
Rfam family: Bacterial small subunit ribosomal RNA
Source: RNAcentral
GAAUUCGCCCUUAGAGUUUGAUCCUGGCUCAGGACGAACGCUGGCGGCGCGCCUAACACAUGCAAGUCGAACGGAGCUUAGAGAGCUUGCUUUUUAAGCUUAGUGGCGAACGGGUGAGUAACGCGUGAGUAACCUGCCCUAGAGUGGGGGACAACAGUUGGAAACGACUGCUAAUACCGCAUAAGCCCACGGUGCCGCAUGACACUGAGGGAAAAGGAUUUAUUCGCUUUAGGAUGGACUCGCGUCCAAUUAGCUAGUUGGUGAGGUAACGGCCCACCAAGGCGACGAUUGGUAGCCGGACUGAGAGGUUGAACGGCCACAUUGGGACUGAGACACGGCCCAGACUCCUACGGGAGGCAGCAGUGGGGGAUAUUGCACAAUGGGGGAAACCCUGAUGCAGCGACGCCGCGUGGAGGAAGAAGGUUUUCGGAUUGUAAACUCCUGUCGUUAGGGACGAUAAUGACGGUACCUAACAAGAAAGCACCGGCUAACUACGUGCCAGCAGCCGCGGUAAAACGUAGGGUGCAAGCGUUGUCCGGAAUUACUGGGUGUAAAGGGAGCGCAGGCGGGAAGACAAGUUGGAAGUGAAAACCAUGGGCUCAACCCAUGAAUUGCUUUCAAAACUGUUUUUCUUGAGUAGUGCAGAGGUAGAUGGAAUUCCCGGUGUAGCGGUGGAAUGCGUAGAUAUCGGGAGGAACACCAGUGGCGAAGGCGGUCUACUGGGCACCAACUGACGCUGAGGCUCGAAAGCAUGGGUAGCAAACAGGAUUAGAUACCCUGGUAGUCCAUGCCGUAAACGAUGAUUACUAGGUGUUG